Molecule: ribosomal RNA, 915 nt
Filed under: Mycosphaerellaceae sp. LM108
Lineage: Eukaryota; Fungi; Ascomycota; Dothideomycetes; Mycosphaerellales; Mycosphaerellaceae
Description: eukaryotic LSU rRNA
Rfam family: Eukaryotic small subunit ribosomal RNA (bases 1-365)
Source: RNAcentral
CCCUCCCCUAAAGUUCGGACCGCAGCGCGCUACACUGACAGAGCCAACGAGUUCAUUUCCUUAGCCGAAAGGUUUGGGUAAUCUUGUUAAACUCUGUCGUGCUGGGGAUAGAGCAUUGCAAUUAUUGCUCUUCAACGAGGAAUGCCUAGUAAGCGCAUGUCAUCAGCAUGCGUUGAUUACGUCCCUGCCCUUUGUACACACCGCCCGUCGCUACUACCGAUUGAAUGGCUCGGUGAGGCCUUCGGACUGGCCCAGGGAGGUCGGCAACGACCACCCAGGGCCGGAAAGUUGGUCAAACCCGGUCAUUUAGAGGAAGUAAAAGUCGUAACAAGGUCUCCGUAGGUGAACCUGCGGAGGGAUCAUUACAAGUGACCCCGGUCUAACCACCGGGAUGUUCAUAACCCUUUGUUGUCCGACUCUGUUGCCUCCGGGGCGACCCUGCCUUCGGGCGGGGGCUCCGGGUGGACACUUCAAACUCUUGCGUAACUUUGCAGUCUGAGUAAACUUAAUUAAUAAAUUAAAACUUUUAACAACGGAUCUCUUGGUUCUGGCAUCGAUGAAGAACGCAGCGAAAUGCGAUAAGUAAUGUGAAUUGCAGAAUUCAGUGAAUCAUCGAAUCUUUGAACGCACAUUGCGCCCCCUGGUAUUCCGGGGGGCAUGCCUGUUCGAGCGUCAUUUCACCACUCAAGCCUCGCUUGGUAUUGGGCAACGCGGUCCGCCGCGUGCCUCAAAUCGACCGGCUGGGUCUUCUGUCCCCUAAGCGUUGUGGAAAACUAUUCGCUAAAGGGUGCUCGGGAGGCUACGCCGUAAAACAAACCCAUUUCUAAGGGUGACCUCGGAUCAGGUAGGGGAUACCCGCUGAACUUAGCAUAUCAUAAGCGGAGGAAAAAAACCACAGGGAUGCUCUAGUAACGG